This 252-nucleotide ribosomal RNA is filed under the name Salmonella enterica subsp. enterica serovar Oranienburg. RNAcentral's name for it is "partial 16S ribosomal RNA". It matches the Rfam family "Bacterial small subunit ribosomal RNA", at positions 1 to 249 of the family's 1533-position model. Lineage: Bacteria; Pseudomonadati; Pseudomonadota; Gammaproteobacteria; Enterobacterales; Enterobacteriaceae. The record is from RNAcentral. RNAcentral also lists the same sequence under 2 other names.
AAAUUGAAGAGUUUGAUCAUGGCUCAGAUUGAACGCUGGCGGCAGGCCUAACACAUGCAAGUCGAACGGUAACAGGAAGCAGCUUGCUGCUUUGCUGACGAGUGGCGGACGGGUGAGUAAUGUCUGGGAAACUGCCUGAUGGAGGGGGAUAACUACUGGAAACGGUGGCUAAUACCGCAUAAUGUCGCAAGACCAAAGAGGGGGACCUUCGGGCCUCUUGCCAUCAGAUGUGCCCAGAUGGGAUUAGCUUGU